GUGCUCACUUCGGCAGCGCGUGUAUUCUAAAAUUGAAAUCAUACAGAGAAGAUUAGCAUGGCCCCCUGCAUAAGGAUGACAUGCAAAUUCAUGAAGUGUUCCAUAUUUUU
Hippopotamus amphibius kiboko is the source of this 110-nucleotide small nuclear RNA. NCBI's taxonomy places the organism in Eukaryota, Metazoa, Chordata, Mammalia, Artiodactyla, Hippopotamidae. The record is from RefSeq and is a predicted model, not a curated record.